Molecule: long non-coding RNA, 259 nt
Organism: Sander lucioperca (pikeperch)
Lineage: Eukaryota; Metazoa; Chordata; Actinopteri; Perciformes; Percidae
Exons: 3
Source: RefSeq, a predicted model, not a curated record
UAACGAUCGCAGGUCUAAUGACGAUCGCAGGUCUAAUGACGAUCGCAGGUCUAAUGACGAUCGCAGGUCUAAUGACGAUCGCAGGUCUAAUGAUCGCAGGUCUAACGAUCGCAGGUCUAAUGACGAUCGCAGGUCUUAUAACGAUCGCAGGUCUUAUAACGAUCGCAGGUCUUAUAAUGAUCGCAGGUCUAAGAGAGAAGACACACCAGCCCGAUAAUUGGGCGUCGGGCCGUCUGGCGAGGUCCGUGACUCGAGUCUG